UUUCCCGGUUGAUCCCGCCGGACCUAACUGCUAUCGGAUUGGUACUAAGCCAUGCGAGUCGUUGUAGCAAUACAAGGCGGACGGCUCAGUAACACGUAGUCAACCUAACCACUGGACGUGGAUAACCUCGGGAAACUGAGAAUAAACCACGAUAGAUCAUUAUGCCNGGAAUGGCUUAUGGUCCAAACAAUUUAUUGCCGUAGGAUGGGACUGCGGCCUAUCAGCUUGUUGGUGAGGUAAUGGCCCACCAAGGCUAUAACAGGUACGGGCUCUGAGAGGAGAAGCCCGGAGAUGGGUACUGAGACACGGACCCAGGCCCUAUGGGGCGCAGCAGGCGAGAAACCUUAGCAAUGUGCGAAAGCACGACUAGGUUAAUCCGAGUGAUUUCUGUUGAAGAAAUCUUUUGUCAGUCGUAAAACCACAGACGAAUAAGGGGUGGGCAAGUCUGGUGUCAGCCGCCGCGGUAAUACCAGCACCUCGAGU
This 483-nucleotide ribosomal RNA is filed under the name uncultured crenarchaeote. RNAcentral describes it as "bacterial SSU rRNA". It matches the Rfam family "Archaeal small subunit ribosomal RNA", at positions 1 to 489 of the family's 1478-position model. The record is from RNAcentral. Lineage: Archaea; Thermoproteati; Thermoproteota.